UCCCUGGUGGCUCAGAUGGUAGAGAAUCUGCCUGCAAUGCGGGGACACCCAGGUUUGAUCCCUGGCUUGGGAA
RNAcentral lists this transfer RNA (73 nucleotides) under Bos taurus (domestic cattle). It matches the Rfam family "tRNA". From Rfam's summary of the family: Transfer RNA (tRNA) molecules are approximately 80 nucleotides in length. Their secondary structure includes four short double-helical elements and three loops (D, anti-codon, and T loops). RNAcentral also lists the same sequence under 1 other name. Lineage: Eukaryota; Metazoa; Chordata; Mammalia; Artiodactyla; Bovidae. The record is from Rfam by way of RNAcentral.